AGACCUUAACCUGCUAAAUAGCCAGGCUAGCUUUGGCUGGUCGCCGGCUUCUUAGAGGGACUAUCGGCUCAAGCCGAUGGAAGUUUGAGGCAAUAACAGGUUAACCGUCACAGGCCUGUUACAGUGGGCCUCACUAAAGAUAACUACUAGUCUACGAUCUUAAUCUCCUUGGGGAAGUCCCCAACUAUCGGGAGGAGACAGGCAUGACCUGUGACGUAGGCAACACCACCUGGUACAGGGAAAGCC
RNAcentral lists this ribosomal RNA (246 nucleotides) under Pleosporales sp. RNAcentral describes it as "partial small subunit ribosomal RNA". The record is from RNAcentral. Lineage: Eukaryota; Fungi; Ascomycota; Dothideomycetes; Pleosporales.